UCUGGAGAAGGGGCAGCCGGGGCAGUGACUGAGAGGGUCCACAUGCAGACCCCCAGAGGUGAUGGGGGCCCACCAAGCAUGCUGCCAUGUACUCUGCCCGCAGCCUCUCACAGAGCCCCACAAGAACCCAUUUUACAGAUGAGGAAACUGACGCUCCAGGAGGUGAACUGGCUUCCUCAAGACUACACGGCUGGCAUUCAAAUCACAAUGAUUUACUGGCUCAGAGGGAGCUGUCACUUGAACAGAGGCUCAGAGAGGUCAAGUGCCUGCCUGAGGUCACACAGCAGCACGGAGA
Molecule: long non-coding RNA, 295 nt
Organism: Physeter macrocephalus (sperm whale)
Lineage: Eukaryota; Metazoa; Chordata; Mammalia; Artiodactyla; Physeteridae
Exons: 3
Source: RefSeq, a predicted model, not a curated record